This 71-nucleotide transfer RNA is filed under the name Marmota monax (woodchuck). Its description in RNAcentral is "tRNA.Ala". The record is from RNAcentral. Lineage: Eukaryota; Metazoa; Chordata; Mammalia; Rodentia; Sciuridae.
GAGGUUGUGGCUCAGAGGUAGAGCCCUUGCCUAGCAUGAGUGAGGACCUGGGUUCAAUCCUCAGCACCACA